Long non-coding RNA from Triticum aestivum (bread wheat), 1482 nucleotides. RefSeq lists it as uncharacterized. The transcript has 4 exons. The record is from RefSeq and is a predicted model, not a curated record. Lineage: Eukaryota; Viridiplantae; Streptophyta; Magnoliopsida; Poales; Poaceae.
CCAAAAUUUCCUGCUCCUCUCCCCAUCCCCCAUUGUCGCUACCCACCAGAUCGGAGGUCCUCCUGCUCCAGCCAGGUCGAACGCCGCCCCCUCCUCAUCUGCGGUAUCCCGGCGGCCGCCUCACUCACAACCUUCUCCUCCGUGGCUCAAUCCGCUCGAACGCCUCCACGAACCCUAGGCGACAACGGCGGCGACGGCCCCGGGGACGGAGGCCGCCGCAUAAGCGGGAGAACAUAUCGGUGCGCCGCCUCGUCCUCCACGAAUCCGGCAGAGGAACAUACUGGUGCGCCGCCUCGUCCUCCACGAAUCCGGCAGAGGAACAUACUGGUGCGCCGCCACCUCCUGCCGGAGGAGACGGGCGCCACUGUCCUGUCGGCGCCGUACUGCCUCAUCCCUAGGGUUCGGGUGGCCUCGUCGCCGUCUUUUGCUCCGCCGGUGACGCCUCACGUGGGAUUUAUUGUUUUCUGCUGUGCUGGAUAGAAAGAUUCCUUGGUCUCGACCAGUAAACCUCCAAUCCAACAUGUCCCCCAUGGAGUGGUUUCAGCAAGGAAGAUGGAGAGCCCAUUCUCUCACUCACAAGGGUUGACAUCUCUUUGUCCCUUUCAGAAUCUGAGUUAUUUGAUGUAGAAAUUGUGGCUGAGGAUCGUCCAAUGGAGAUUCCUGAUCCCCAAUUCUUGGGUAUCGAGAAUAACACGAAUCUCAAGUGCCACCAUGGGAGCUGCUGGAGAGGAAGAUAGCUUUCGGCAUGGCUGCGACAGGCAAGAGGAUUUUUGGCAAAUGAGAAGAGAUCUUCAAUGAAAUUAUCAUUCUAUACCAUUCUUAGAUUAGGUUCUCUAAGUGUUGUCGUGACUUUAGCCACUUUUGUCCUUAUGUUUUUUGCAUAAUUCGAUUGCUUUGUGGUUAAUGUGUAAAAAGCUUGUAUGAUCGAAUUAUUACUAUCCAUUUCUAUCGGCCUAUAAGUUGUCUGUCAUGCAGCUUGAAUUCUAACUUAGUGAUUUAUGGAGAUAUGUGAAUGGCAUGAGGCAACAGAUAUUGCCAUUGUUAUCGAGAUGACAACAGAUAUUACUGGAUGUACACGGGUUCUGUAUUUUGCCAAUCCUGUAGUUUGAUACUCCAUUGGGUUCAUCUGCGGCAGGACAUCAUUAAGUUUAAUGUGGAUGGGCCCCAUGUCCUGGCUAGCAGCAUGGAACUUGGGGCGUUAUUGCCAGAGAUUCAGAAGGUCAAAUUGUGGCUGCCAGGGCUGGGCAUGCCUUGAAUGUGUAUGAUGCAUUUGCUGCUGAACUGCAAGCAGCGGAUGAUGGUGGAGACAGAAGCACAGCUGGUUGAGCAAGCAGUAAACAGGCAUGCACCUGAUUUCUCCAAGGAAGCCCAGGCGAUAGAAGACAUCAAAGUACAGGCCAAACUCUGGUUCACCUCAUGUGAGUUUCUUCACUGUAAGCUUGUUGCAAAUGUGCCUGCCCACUCUCUAGCGCAAUUAGGUUU